CGAUGACCAUGUACAUACGCAAUAGACAAUCUUUAUGGUUUGAAGGAAUUCUAUAAAGAUUGUCUAUUGCGUAUGUACAUGGUCAUCG
This is a non-coding RNA of Podarcis lilfordi (Lilford's wall lizard), 88 nucleotides long. The record is from the annotation of a GenBank genome assembly. NCBI's taxonomy places the organism in Eukaryota, Metazoa, Chordata, Lepidosauria, Squamata, Lacertidae.